RNAcentral lists this ribosomal RNA (492 nucleotides) under uncultured bacterium. RNAcentral describes it as "bacterial SSU rRNA". It matches the Rfam family "Bacterial small subunit ribosomal RNA", at positions 28 to 512 of the family's 1533-position model. The record is from RNAcentral.
GACGAACGCUGGCGGCGUGGAUUAGGCAUGCAAGUCGAACGGUAGGAUACCUUCGGGUAUCUGAGAGUGGCGAACGGGUGAGUAACACGUAGGUGAUCUACCCUCAAGAUUGGGACAACCCAGGGAAACUUGGGCUAAUACCGGAUGAAAGCAGCAGUGAUGUUGUUUGAAAGGUGGCGUAAGCUGCCGUUUGGGGAUGAGCCUGCGCUCUAUUAGUUAGUUGGCGGGGUAAAGGCCCACCAAGGCGAUGAUAGAUAGGCGGCCUUAACGGGUGGUCGCCCACACUGGGAUUGAGAUACGGCCCAGACUCCUACGGGAGGCAGCAGUCGAGAAUAGUCUACAAUGGCCGAAAGGCUGAUAGUGCGACGCCGCGUGAACGAAGAAGCCCUUCGGGUGUAAAGUUCUUUUAUAUGUGAGCAGUGCUUUCUAUGUGAACAGCAUGGGGAGAGAGAUAUUAGCAUAUGAAUAAGCAACGGCUAACUCCGUGCCAGC